This 456-nucleotide ribosomal RNA is filed under the name uncultured bacterium. RNAcentral describes it as "bacterial SSU rRNA". It matches the Rfam family "Bacterial small subunit ribosomal RNA", at positions 329 to 793 of the family's 1533-position model. The record is from RNAcentral.
GGCCAGACUCCUACGGGAGGCAGCAGUAGGGAAUUUUCGGCAAUGGGGGGAACCCUGACCGAGCAACGCCGCGUGAACGAAGAAGUUAUUCGUAAUGUAAAGUUCUUUUAUCAGGGAAGAAAGAGGAAUUUGACGGUACCUGAGGAAUAAGCUCCGGCUAACUACGUGCCAGCAGCCGCGGUAAUACGUAGGGGGCGAGCGUUAUCCGGAAUUACUGGGUGUAAAGGGAGCGUAGACGGCGAGGUAAGCCUGAAGUGGAAGCCCGCGGCCCAACCGCGGAACUGCUUUGGGAACUGUUUUGCUGGAGUAUGGGAGGGGUAAGCGGAAUUCCUGGUGUAGCGGUGAAAUGCGUAGAUAUCAGGAGGAACACCGGUGGCGAAGGCGGCUUACUGGACCAUAACUGACGUUGAGGCUCGAAAGCGUGGGGAGCGAACAGGAUUAGAUACCCCCGUACGG